CUCCAAUAGCGUAUAUUAAAGUUGUUGCAGUUAAAAAGCUCGUAGUUGAAUUUCGGGAUCAAUAUAUCGGUCGUGCCUUUGGUACGUACUGGUAUCAUUGAUUUCUCCUUUCUGACGAAUCAUGAUGUCAUUAAUUUGGUGUUAUGAGGAGUUAGGACUGUUACUUUGAAAAAAUUAGAGUGUUUAAAGCAGGCAUUAGCUUGAAUACAUUAGCAUGGAAUAAUGAAAUAGGACGUUUGACCCUAUUUUGUUGGUUUUUAGGAUCGACGUAAUGAUUAAUAGGGAUAGUUGGGGGCAUUAGUAUUCAAUUGUCAGAGGUGAAAUUCUUGGAUUUAUUGAAGACUAACUACUGCGAAAGCAUUUGCCAAGGAUGUUUUCAUUAAUCAAGAACGAAAGUUAGGGGAUCGAAGACGAUCAGAUACCGUCGUAGUCUUAACCAUAAACUAUGCCGACUAGGGAUCGGAUGAUGUUAAUUUUAUAA
This 481-nucleotide ribosomal RNA is filed under the name uncultured Glomus. RNAcentral's name for it is "SSU rRNA". It matches the Rfam family "Eukaryotic small subunit ribosomal RNA", at positions 589 to 1074 of the family's 1831-position model. The record is from RNAcentral. Lineage: Eukaryota; Fungi; Glomeromycota; Glomeromycetes; Glomerales; Glomeraceae.